AAUCCAUGUUGCGAGCAUUUUCUCAGGAGUUCCUUGAACAUUUUUCCACGUCUCAAAUAGAGACUCCAAUUCCAACUACACAAACGAUGAGAUCUCAUUCCUAAGCUU
Small nucleolar RNA from Dioscorea cayenensis subsp. rotundata (Guinea yam), 108 nucleotides. The record is from RefSeq and is a predicted model, not a curated record. NCBI's taxonomy places the organism in Eukaryota, Viridiplantae, Streptophyta, Magnoliopsida, Dioscoreales, Dioscoreaceae.